UCGAGCGUCAGUACAACACUCAAGCCUCGCUUGGUCUUGGGCCUCGCCGGAAGCGGCGGGCCUUAAAAUCAGUGGCGGCGCCUGUUGGGCCCUAAGCGUAGUAAUACCCCUCGCUCCAGGGACCCGGCGGACGCUGGUCAGCAACCCCCCAACUUUCUAAGUUUGACCUCGGAUCAGGUAGGGAUACCCGCUGAACUUAA
Molecule: unclassified non-coding RNA, 200 nt
Filed under: soil metagenome
Description: partial contains internal transcribed spacer 2 and large subunit ribosomal RNA
Source: RNAcentral